Unclassified non-coding RNA from Pongo abelii (Sumatran orangutan), 149 nucleotides. It matches the Rfam family "Metazoan signal recognition particle RNA". From Rfam's summary of the family: The signal recognition particle (SRP) is a universally conserved ribonucleoprotein. It is involved in the co-translational targeting of proteins to membranes. The record is from Ensembl. NCBI's taxonomy places the organism in Eukaryota, Metazoa, Chordata, Mammalia, Primates, Hominidae.
GCUGGGCAUGGUGGCGUGUGCCUGUAAUCCCAGCUACUUGGGAGGCUGAGACAGGAGAAUCGCUUGAACCCGGGAGGCAGAGGGUGCAGUGAGCUGAGAUCACGCCACUGCACUCCAGCCUGGGCAACAAGAGUGAAACUCUGUCUCAA